AUUGAACGCUGGCGGCAUGCCUUACACAUGCAAGUCGAACGGCAGCACGGGUGCUUGCACCUGUUGGCGAGUGGCGAACGGGUGAGUAAUACAUCGGAACAUGUCCUUUAGUUUGGGAUAGCCCGGCGAAAGCCGGAUUAAUACCGCAUACGAUCUACGGAUGAAAGCGGGGGAGCUUCGGGCCUCGCGCUGUAGGGUUGGCCGAUGGCUGAUUAGCUAGUUGGUGGGGUAAAGGCCUACCAAGGCGGCGAUCAGUAGCUGGUCUGAGAGGACGACCAGCCGCACUGGGAGGGAGACACGGCCCAUGGUACUACGGGAGGCAGCAGUGGGGAAUUUUGGACAAUGGGCGAGAGCCUUAUACAGCAAUGCCGCGUGUGUGAAGAAGGCCUUCGGGUUGUGAAGCACUUUUGUCCGGAAAGAAAUCCUUGGCCCUAAUACGGUCGGGGGAUGACGGUAACGGAAGAAUAAGCACCGGCUAACUACGUG
RNAcentral lists this ribosomal RNA (486 nucleotides) under uncultured bacterium. Its description in RNAcentral is "partial 16S ribosomal RNA". It matches the Rfam family "Bacterial small subunit ribosomal RNA", at positions 30 to 507 of the family's 1533-position model. The record is from RNAcentral.